Molecule: ribosomal RNA, 513 nt
Filed under: uncultured bacterium
Lineage: Bacteria
Description: bacterial SSU rRNA
Rfam family: Bacterial small subunit ribosomal RNA
Source: RNAcentral
GAUCAUGGCUCAGAACGAACGCUGGCGGCGCGUUUAAGCAUGCAAGUCGAGCGGCAAGGGCCUUCGGGCCCCUAGAGCGGCGGACGGGUGAGUAACACGUGGACAAUCUGCCCCCCGGCCCGGGAUAGCCCAGGGAAACCUGGAUUAAUACCGGAUGAGACGGGACCCGCGAUGGCGGGACCCGGGAAAGGCGCUGCGGCGCCGCCGGGGGAUGAGUCUGCGUCCCAUUAGCUAGACGGCGGGGUAACGGCCCACCGUGGCGACGAUGGGUAGCCGGCCUGAGAGGGUGGACGGCCACAUUGGAACUGAGACACGGUCCAGACUCCUACGGGAGGCAGCAGCUAAGAAUCUUCCGCAAUGGGCGAAAGCCUGACGGAGCCGACGCCGCGUGAACGAAGAAGGCCGUGAGGUUGUAAAGUUCUUUUCGGGAGGGGGAACAACCGUGGCAGGGAAUGGCCGCGGGAUGACGUGAAUCCCGGAAUAAGCCCCGGCUAACUACGUGCCAGCAGCCGC